UGCGUAGGUGGUUCUCUAAGUUUGGUGUGAAAUCUCCCGGCUCAACUGGGAGGGUGCGCCGAAAACUGGAGGGCUUGAGUGUGGGAGAGGAAAGCGGAAUUCCUGGUGUAGCGGUGAAAUGCGUAGAUAUCAGGAGGAACACCUGCGGUGUAGACGGCUUUCUGGACCACUACUGACACUGAGGCACGAAAGCGUGGGUAGCAAACA
This 207-nucleotide ribosomal RNA is filed under the name uncultured bacterium. Its description in RNAcentral is "partial 16S ribosomal RNA". It matches the Rfam family "Bacterial small subunit ribosomal RNA", at positions 568 to 774 of the family's 1533-position model. The record is from RNAcentral.